GAUCAUGGCUCAGAUUGAACGCUGGCGGCAGGCUUAACACAUGCAAGUCGGAACGGUAACAUAAAGGAGCUUGCUUCUUUGAUGACGAGUGGCGGACGGGUGAGUAAUGCUUGGGAAUCUAGCUUAUGGAGGGGGAUAACUACGGGAAACUGUAGCUAAUACCGCGUAGAAUCGAGAGAUGAAAGUGUGGGACCUUCGGGCCACAUGCCAUAGGAUGAGCCCAAGUGGGAUUAGGUAGG
RNAcentral lists this ribosomal RNA (239 nucleotides) under uncultured bacterium. RNAcentral describes it as "partial 16S ribosomal RNA". It matches the Rfam family "Bacterial small subunit ribosomal RNA", at positions 15 to 249 of the family's 1533-position model. The record is from RNAcentral.